GAGAGCACCUGUGCUUUGGCAAUGUCC
Molecule: non-coding RNA, 27 nt
Filed under: Rattus norvegicus (Norway rat)
Lineage: Eukaryota; Metazoa; Chordata; Mammalia; Rodentia; Muridae
Source: RNAcentral